Molecule: ribosomal RNA, 494 nt
Filed under: uncultured bacterium
Lineage: Bacteria
Description: partial 16S ribosomal RNA
Rfam family: Bacterial small subunit ribosomal RNA
Source: RNAcentral
GAUGAACGCUGGCGGCGUGCCUAACACAUGCAAGUCGAACGGAGUUAUUAUUAUGAAGUUUUCGGAUGGAUUAAUAAUAACUUAGUGGCGGACGGGUGAGUAACGCGUGGGUAACCUGCCUCAUACAGGGGGAUAACAGUUGGAAACGGCUGCUAAAACCGCAUAACAUUGCGAUGUCGCAUGACAAUGCAAUUAAAUAUUUAUAGGUAUGAGAUGGGCCCGCGUCUGAUUGGCUAGUUGGUGGGGUAAUGGCCUACCAAGGCGACGAUCAGUGGCCGGCUUGAGAGAGUGACCGGCCACAUUGGGACUGAGACACGGGCCAAACUCCUACGGGAGGCAGCAGUGGGGAAUAUUGCACAAUGGGGGAAACCCUGAUGCAGCGACGCCGCGUAAGUGAAGAAGUAUUUCGGUAUGUAAAGCUCUAUCAGCAGGGAAGAAAAUGACGGUACCUGACUAAGAAGCCCCGGCUAACUACGUGCCAGCCGCCGCCGUAA